Molecule: ribosomal RNA, 479 nt
Filed under: uncultured bacterium
Lineage: Bacteria
Description: bacterial SSU rRNA
Rfam family: Bacterial small subunit ribosomal RNA
Source: RNAcentral
GAUAAACGCUGGCGGCGCACAUAAGACAUGCAAGUCGAACGAACUUAACCAUUAGUUUACUAUUGGAGCGGUUAGUGGCGGACUGGUGAGUAACACGUAAGCAACCUGCCUAUCAGAGGGGAACAACAGUUAGAAAUGACUGCUAAUACCGCAUAUGCCUUGAGUAUCACAUGGUACAAAAGGGAAGGAGCAAUCCGCUGAUAGAUGGGCUUGCGUCUGAUUAGAUAGUUGGUGAGGUAACGGCCCACCAAGUCGACGAUCAGUAGCCGGACUGAGAGGUUGAACGGCCACAUUGGGACUGAGAUACGGCCCAGACUCCUACGGGAGGCAGCAGUCGGGAAUAUUGCGCAAUGGAGGAAACUCUGACGCAGUGACGCCGCGUGCAGGAAGAAGGUUUUCGGAUUGUAAACUGCUUUAGACAGGGAAGAAACAAGACAGUACUCAACAAGGAAGUGACGGCUAACUACGUGCCAGCAGCC